GUAAGUUCCCUGCGGCCUGCCCAUCCAUGCUGAACUGGACCUUGUGACGCUGAUACAGCCAAUGGCCAGGAGAUUUGAGGGGCAGAUUCUGCAUCUAUCCAAAGGGUAGGAUCCUGAUUGUUACACGAACUGUCCACCUCCAUCCAGAGCCGUGUGGCUUGUAGUGCCUUCUCGUGGCAGGUAUAUUUUCCUGCCUGUUCACGUGACUUGUGUUGGCCAGUGGAAUAUAGUUUGAUCUGCAGUAGUUUGAAUCUGAGGAUGCUGAACCUGUGGAUAAGGAGAGCCUACUUUUCUUGGACAAAUGCCCUGUGUCAGAAGAGUGUGGUAAACAGAAGCUCAGCUCCUUCAAGGAUGACAGCCUUGGUUACACCACCAGAACAUUUACUGGUGAUGAGAGACUCUAAAGAAGUCACAGCUUGCUUCCUUUCUGAAGAACGUUGUGAUUUUGGCUCACGUGCAGUGCACGACAACUCUUCUCCAACAGCAUGACAUAGUCCACUGUCUCAGGAUCCCAUUUUUCCACCAGCUGCAGAGCAGGAAGGGACAAAUCAAAGUGUGAGCAUUCGGAUCACCAACGCUGUGACCUCGCUGUGUGAACGGGAGCUACUACAGGAAGGAAGCUUACAAAUGAGCUGCAUGGAUCCCACAUUUUGCUAAAAUCAAAUAGGACCUUUCUCCUCUUUGUUGAAUGCCGUAAUACACAAGAAAUAAGCCAGCAGGAUGCUCAUGUCCAAGGUUUCCCUUUAUCUACCACACGAGUUGGCAUGAAACAACUUCUGGGGUUCAAAUCUUCUGAACAAUGAUACAAGUCUUGGCAAAUUUCAAGAAUAAUUUAAAGAGGAAAUAAAUAGCUUUUUGUUUAACUUGGAUCAAUUAUCUCCUAUUGCUCCCAGCUUCAUGCCAGGUACUCUCCACUGUGCCUGGGAAAUAUGAAUCCCUGCCCUCAUGAAAAAACAUUGGCCAUGAGGAUUUUCCCUACAACCCAAGAACUAUUUGAAGUUUGAAGUCUUUCAGCCCAGACAACACUGGCUAUUUUCACCUUUGCCUUCAACUAUAAAGGCUGGGCUCUCUCUGCAGGAGUGGGUUACUGCUGGCAGAACAGAGAAAGAGAGAGAGCAGGAGAGAGAGAGACAGACAGAAUCCACUAGUAGAAUAAGCCAUGAUCACCACUCAAAACUUUUGCUACUACUUGAUCAGUACCUGGAAUUCUGAGGAAAACCCUAUUAGAGAUUGCAAAUCCAGUAAAUAAAGGCAGCAGUGGUACCUUGUUAAAAACAUCAAAUCCAAAGUGCUCUGAGGAGGAAUAUGUACGGUGUGUUCUAGGGACAGAAAAUAAGACAAACGUGGCUGGAGUAUUGGAAGGGGAAGUGAGUGUUACUAGAGAAGGUCAUGAGGUGAGGCGGGCCAGAUCAUAUGGGUCUGUGUAAGCUAUGGCAAGGAGUGUGGAUUUUAUUCCAAGUAAGAUGGAAAGCCUUUAUGAAGUUUUAAAAACGGCAGUGUUAUGAUUUGUAACAUCUGAGUUUAUGUUUACAUCGUGGCCAAAUUAUUUUAUAAAAUAAUGUAAUAAUGGUUCAACAGUUUGAUUGUGUUGCCCUUAAAAUUUCACAAGACUUAAAAUUUUCUACACUAUUCAUUUCAGUAUUGACUGUAAUUUAAUAACUCAAUUAGUAAUGUUAAAUAAAUUAUUUGUUACUACCUAUUGAAAUUAUAUAUAUAUAUACACACAC
RNAcentral lists this long non-coding RNA (1727 nucleotides) under Homo sapiens (human). Its description in RNAcentral is "HSALNT0047600". Lineage: Eukaryota; Metazoa; Chordata; Mammalia; Primates; Hominidae. The record is from RNAcentral.